AUUGGGGUAGCUGGGUCAAAUGGUGGUUCUGUUCCAAGCUUUCUAAGGAAUCUCCACACUGCUUUCCAAAGUGGUUGCACCAAUUGCAGUCUCACCAGCAAU
RNAcentral lists this microRNA precursor (102 nucleotides) under Marmota monax (woodchuck). Lineage: Eukaryota; Metazoa; Chordata; Mammalia; Rodentia; Sciuridae. The record is from RNAcentral.